Molecule: ribosomal RNA, 465 nt
Filed under: uncultured bacterium
Lineage: Bacteria
Description: partial 16S ribosomal RNA
Rfam family: Bacterial small subunit ribosomal RNA
Source: RNAcentral
GACGAACGCUGGCGGCGUGCUUAACACAUGCAAAUCGAACGGAAGGGCCCUGCUUGCAGGGUACUCGAGUGGCGAACGGGUGAGUAACACGUGGGUGAUCUGCCCUGCACUUCGGGAUAAGCCUGGGAAACUGGGUCUAAUACCGGAUAUGACCUUCCAUGUAGUGUGGGGGGUGGAAAGAUUUAUCGGUGUGGGAUGAGCCCGCGGCCUAUCAGCUUGUUGGUGGGGUAAUGGCCUACCAAGGCGUCGACGGGUAGCCGGCCUGAGAGGGUGGACGGCCACAUUGGGACUGAGAUACGGCCCAGACUCCUACGGGAGGCAGCAGUGGGGAACAUUGCACAAUGGGCGGAAGCCUUAUGCAGCGACGCCGCGUGGGGGAUGACGGCCUUCGGGUUGUAAACCUCUUUCGACAGGGACGAAGCUUCGGUGACGGUACCUGUAUAAGAAGCACCGGCUAACUACGUG